RNAcentral lists this ribosomal RNA (864 nucleotides) under uncultured SAR324 cluster bacterium. Its description in RNAcentral is "SSU rRNA". It matches the Rfam family "Bacterial small subunit ribosomal RNA", at positions 22 to 901 of the family's 1533-position model. The record is from RNAcentral. Lineage: Bacteria; Deltaproteobacteria.
GCUCAGGACGAACGCUGGCGGCAUGCCUAACACAUGCAAGUCGAACGAGAAAGUUCCUUCGGGAGUGAUUAAAGUGGCGCACGGGUGAGUAACGCGUAGACAAUCUGCCCUUCAGUCUGGGACAACUUUUCGAAAGAAGAGCUAAUACCGGAUAACAAUGUUUGGCAUAAGCCAAAUAUUUGAAAGCUUUAUGUGCUGAGGGAGGGGUCUGCGUCCCAUUAGCUUGUUGGUAAGGUAACGGCUUACCAAGGCAACGAUGGGUAGCGGGUUUGAGAGGACGAUCCGCCACACUGGAACUGAGACACGGUCCAGACUCCUACGGGAGGCAGCAGUGGGGAAUAUUGCACAAUGGAGGAAACUCUGAUGCAGCAAUGUCGCGUGAGUGAAGAAGGCCCUUGGGUCGUAAAGCUCUUUUAUGAGGGAAGAUGAUGACGGUACCUCAGGAAUAAGCACCGGCUAACUACGUGCCAGCAGCCGCGGUAAUACGUAGGGUGCGAGCGUUGUUCGGAAUUACUGGGCGUAAAGGGCGCGCAGGCGGAAUGGCAAGUCGGAGGUGAAAGCCCGGGGCUCAACCCCGGAGGGUCUUUCGAAACUGCUAUUCUAGAGAGGGUCAGGGGCCAGCAGAAUUCCUGGUGUAGAGGUGAAAUUCGUAGAUAUCAGGAGGAAUACCGGUGGCGAAAGCGGCUGGCUGGGACCACUCUGACGCUGAGGCGCGAAAGCGUGGGGAGCAAACAGGAUUAGAUACCCUGGUAGUCCACGCCGUAAACGAUGAGCACUGGACGUCCGGAGGGUUCGACCCUUCUGGGUGUUUCAGCUAACGCAUUAAGUGCUCCGCCUGGGGAGUACGGUCGCAAGACUAAAACU